Molecule: RNA transcript, 7640 nt
Organism: Felis catus (domestic cat)
Lineage: Eukaryota; Metazoa; Chordata; Mammalia; Carnivora; Felidae
Gene: GBX1
Gene name: gastrulation brain homeobox 1
Exons: 3
Source: RefSeq, a predicted model, not a curated record
UGCCGCCGCCUUCUCGUCGGCAGCAAACUUUCACAAAGCGGCGUGUCCGGCCUCAUCAAUCUCCAUUAAUAAUAGUUGGUUGGGCCGCGGGGGGCGGGCGGGGUCCCGGGCCGGCCGGCCGGGCCGCUGGGAACGGGCUCUGCGGAGGGAGCGGAGCCGGGCGCGGCGGCGGCGGGCGGAGGGAGGAAGUGAAGCGUAAUUUGAGGAAGAUGGAUGAGUCCGGAGGGCGACACCCCCAGCCCGCCCGCUCGCCCGCCCCCUCCCUCCUUAUGAGAGCGAGGGAGCGCGGCGCCGGAGCCACACUGCGCCGAGCCCGCGCCCCGCCGCCACCUCGGCCCGGGAGCCUGGGAGCGAGCCCUGCGUGUCCGCGCGGGGCGCCCGAGCCGCGGGGCGCACGGCGGCGCCCGGAGGGGAGCGCCCCGGGGCGGCCGUAGCUCCGGGCACGAUGCAGAGAGCCGGAGGCGGGGGUGCCCCCGGGGGCAGCGGCGGGGGCAGCGGCGGGGGCCCGGGCACUGCCUUCUCCAUUGACUCCCUGAUCGGGCCACCGCCGCCUCGCUCCGGCCACUUGCUCUACACCGGCUAUCCCAUGUUCAUGCCCUACCGGCCGCUGGUGCUGCCGCAGGCGCUGGCCCCUGCGCCGCUGCCUGCCGGCCUCCCGCCUCUCGCCCCACUAGCCUCCUUUGCCGGCCGCCUUACCAACACGUUCUGCGCGGGACUGGGCCAGGCCGUGCCCUCGAUGGUGGCGCUGACCACCGCGCUGCCCAGCUUCGCGGAGCCGCCCGACGCCUUCUACGGGCCCCAGGAGCUCGCCGCCGCCGCCGCCGCCGCCGCCACUGCCGCCCGAAACAACCCCGAGCCGGGUGGCCGACGCCCCGAGGGUGGGCUGGAAGCCGAGGAGCUGAUGCCCGCCCGGGAGAAAGUGGCAGAGCCCCCACCGCCCCCGCCUCCGCACUUCUCAGAGACUUUCCCAAGUCUGCCGGCAGAGGGGAAGGUGUACAGCUCAGAUGAGGAGAAGCUGGAGGCACCAGCAGGAGACCCGGCAGGCAGCGAACAGGAGGAAGAGGGCUCAGGCGGUGACAGCGAGGACGACGGUUUCCUGGACAGUUCUGCAGGGGGCCCAGGGGCUCUCCUGGGACCUAAACCGAAGCUAAAGGGAAGCCUGGGGACUGGAGCUGAGGAGGGGGCACCAGUGGCAGCUGGAGUCACAGCUCCUGGGGGCAAAAGCCGACGGCGCCGCACGGCAUUUACCAGUGAGCAGCUUUUGGAAUUGGAGAAGGAGUUCCACUGCAAGAAAUACCUGAGCUUGACAGAGCGUUCCCAGAUCGCCCAUGCCCUCAAGCUCAGUGAGGUGCAGGUCAAGAUCUGGUUUCAGAAUCGGCGGGCCAAGUGGAAGCGCAUCAAAGCUGGCAACGUGAGCAGCCGUUCCGGGGAGCCCGUGAGAAACCCCAAGAUUGUUGUCCCCAUACCUGUGCAUGUCAACAGGUUUGCUGUACGGAGCCAGCACCAACAAAUGGAACAGGGCGCCCGGCCCUGAAGGGGCUCCCAAGGAUCCUGGAAGGCAGCCGAUCUGUCCCCGAGUCUGCUCUGAGACUGGGUUAGGGUUCUGCGGACCAGCGGGGCUGCUGCUACGAUGCUGCCCUGGGAGAGGGCUCCGUCGGCAACUAACUUAGCGCUAGAAGGGCUACUAUGCUGUACCAACUGUGGAGCGGGGCUGCACAGACACGCCUGCACAGACAUUGGGGAAAGAGGAUUAUUACAGAAACCAGCUGAAGUUGGGAUCAUGGUAAGCGGGGCUUCUUGGGAAGAAACCUGACCUGCACUGAUCUGGGAGGACAGCUAGGGGAGAGAACAGAGCCGCCGAGAAGAAAAAUGGGCAGAGCGAGGAGUGAGGCUAGGACACUCAGAAGAUUAAGGUCAGGGAGGGAAAUACAAGCUCAAAUACCUGGCCGGCCCCCUCACCUUCCUUAGAAAACUGCUGCUACUCCUGAUUCCUAGCAUGGCAGACCAACCAGUAUUUACUCAAACAUCUGCUAAGCGCCUCGUAUGAUGAAGACAGGCUUCCCUGGCAGUUCCUUUCUCCCAGCUGGUUUUGGCAACCAAACAGCAAGCCGGGGCUGUGACCGGUUAUUCGCAACAGGGUCGCGGUUCCCCAGCUCGGAUGCAGGGGUCCAGGCUGCUAUUUGGCUAAAAUCCAGCCAGGCUUGAAAAUUAGGUUAAAAAAAAGUAGUCCGGACCAGCCCCAUUCCCGAUCUAGAUUGAGGCUGUCUCUGCCCACGGAGGGAACCUAUGAGAUUAGAUGCUUUUUAGGGGCCAGGCCAGGCAGUGGUUGAGGAUCACAGGCGCUAUUGUCACUUUGGCGGUCGGGAAUUCGUGUCCACAGGUCUAGGGCUAGAGCAGACGUUCUCUGGUGCUGUGCCUGAGGGAAGGAGGCUGGGGGGAAACCGAAGCCCUGAUUUGCCAUUUUUUUCCGGAUUUACUAUGAAGCGUCCUAAACUAUACUGGACAGUACUCAGCCAGUUAAGCAGCUUGUUUUCCUUAGGGAAAAUAAGAAAGUUGAUUAUUGCUAGUAUGUUUCUGAGCCCAGGAGCCCCUUCUUAUACAUACCAGAGGCCCUAUUUCUGUUCUACCCUGAUCUUUGCCUAAGGCUCUUAUCAGCCUUGCAAAAGGGCUGCGGACCAAGAAAAUACAAUCUGGUUUCUUCUCUGAACAGCAUUUACUUAGCAUUUGCUUAGUUAUCUACCUGCACUUAGGUGGGUUCCCAUCAGAGUGCCAGCCCCCCCCCCCCACCCAGUGUACACUCAUUAAGUGUUGGAGAAAGACGGGGCCACCAGCAAAGCGGUUGUAGGGAUGGGAAAACGGGCUCCUUGGAGAGCAGGGACCUUAACUUUGCAAGUUCUCAUCCUUCAAGAAUAGGUAUAGAGGGGUUUCCCUCAGGUCUUUCUAGAAUGAGGGAUAGAGGGAGAAACAGGAGCUCAGGAUUCUGCCCCCAGCUUGGCAGGAUGUUGGUGGGAAUCCAGGUGGUGGUUCUGCCAUCAGUGACCUACCUCCUCGCCUCUCCUCAAAAGCAAAGCCGAGGCCUGAGUCCCGGCGGCAGUGCUGCCCUAGUAAAGUCCAGCCACUUGCCCUUGUGGCUUCCUCAGAACUCUUCUCCUGCACCUUGAGCGUCUCCCCGUAGGUCUGGCUAUGUGAGCUACUUCCCAGACUCUUAGGAAAGAGGACGACGCUUCUGUCCUCCUUCUGGGUGCACUUUGGCCAGCACCAGGUGUGGCAUGAGGUUACUGGAGACCAGCCGGAAAAACUUUCCGAGGGUAGGGGUGGGGCAUGUGAGGAGGGGAAGCAGCAGAAAGCUUCCAGUAGGAAGCACAAAGCUCCGUACCUCCUUUCGGGGUUCGAAGCCAGUGCUACCCACAAACUCAACUACGCUGCUGGCAGGAAAGGGCCAAAGGAAACGCAUGUCGUGGCCUGAGCAGAGACCUCAGGGCCUCAGGCCAACCGAGAGAGGAGUUACUCCCAGAGUACAGACCGAAGAUAGCACCAAGAAGUAGGGCUGAAGGACCUUUCUGGAAGGGCAGAGACAUAAAAGGGGAAAACAAGGCCACACACAGUCUGGUUUACUGGCUCAUCACACACACCAGAUAUGUACACAAACAUAAAUACUCCAAUGUACAAAUUUACACGGACUCACAGAUCACCCCCUCGUCUCUUUCAUCCAGCACCCCCCAACCUGUGCCCUAUCCGUCCAGGCUCCGUUUUAGGAUGAAGGCUUGCAGGGGGCUGGCAGGAGAAGGUAGGAAUCUGGAGGAGGGAGAGGUCCUGCUCCCCUCUCCUCACAGGUACCUCCAAAGGGUCCUGUCCCUUUUCAGUGGCACCGUGGGGUAGAGGGCUAAAAUACCUCCACUCCCCCUCUGCUGCAGCUCAAAUCCCAGAUGUCUCCUCUGGUCCCUCUGUCUUUCUCAUUUGGCUCUUCUUCUGUUUGACUCUUCCUCAUUUCCUCUCCUUCUUCCUUUCUCUGUCUUGGCUCCCCCCAGUGCGUGUAGGGAGGAGGGGCCCCAGGCCACGGAGUCCUUCUGGCCCCUGUGCCCUCUUCCUGGGCCUUAUAGAAGGCUAGGACUUCGGUGCAGCUCAGCAGAGGUGUUGGCGCCAUUGGCAGGCUCUCUGUUGGGGGUAGGUGCUAAGCCACAGCCCUCCCCAGGGCAGCCAUGCUGGAUCAAGAUGUCCGCGCACUCCUGGCUACCGGCCCGACGGGCGUAGGCCAGCGGAGUCAGGCCCCGGGCGUCCCGGCUCCUCACGUCCACCCCAUACUGCAGAAGGAAGCACAUUUUCACAGUUGGCACGACAUGGCAAGGAAGGUGUGGGUUCUUGGGGGCAGAACGGAGAUCAGGUAGGUCAGAGGAGCCUUCGAGGGUGGCCCUGGCAAGGCAAGGAGGGAGCCCACAACUCACCCAGAUGAGCAGCUGUGUGAAGACGACGUUGGCCAUGGCGCUGGAGAGAUGGAGAGCCGUCCGCCCAUCCCCGUCGCCGUAGGUCUCGUUCACCUCCUCCUUGGACCCGUGGGCCAGAAGCAUCACCAGCAGCCGCAGGUCGUCCUCCACCACAGCCCGGAGCAGCUGCUGUCCCAGCGGCACGUCCGAGCUCGGCAGCGGGGCCAGGAAGAGCUUCUGUUCGUACUUGGCCCGUAUCCAGCGCUCCUUCUCCUCUCUGCAACCACAGGUCCAUCGAGGCAUGAGCCAACGGGCGGGGGCUGGGGAGGGUGGUCAGGAAAUGGCAGGAGCACCCCGAAAGGGGAAUCGGCAGAGACAAGGCAUAGGACGGGGCAGUGGAGAGACAAACCUAAGGAACGGACGGCACAGAGUGGGUAACGCAAAGGGUGUGGAAGAGGCUGAAAGGGAGGAACACUGAAGAGAGGCCCCUCGGGGGCAGCAGGGAUGUAGGGGGCUGAGAGGGCAGGAAGAUUCCAGGCAGGGCUCCCGUGGUAGCUUAUCUGGACCUGCUGGAACAAAGGGGGUGGGGGGCCUACACUAGGGGCCCGUGCGCUAUCCUAUCUCCCACCCAUUCUCCCCAUCUCAGAGCUCAGGCUAGGGCCUUCACGCCACAGAGCGAUAGGGCCCUGCGCAUGCGCCUCCUGCUGGCCCCUGACCUGCUGAUAAGGCUCAGAAAGGGCCUCUUGUUGUGAGGAGCCUGAGUGACAGGCGGGGAGGGGGAGGGGCACCCCAAGGGGCCAACUGCCGAGCAGAGCAACAGCCAGUUUUAACCCUUGGAGCACGGCUGCAGCUACUCAGCACCAUCCCGAUCUUCCCCAUACCUGGGCACCACCGUCCCUUCCCUUUCUGGCCAGCCGCAGGGCCCCCCCUUCAUCCACUCACCGGCAGGCGUCGGGCCCAGGCUUCGCAUAGCCAUCCAGGGCCCCCUCCCAGACACUGUUGGCCAGGGCAUUGCCCAUGGCGGUCAUGACAGCCAGCAGCUCGGGUGGCCAGUCAUCGAGGUCAAGGGAGCGGACGCGGGAGAGGUGAGCCCCCAGGUGUCGAUGGGUCCCUGAGCACUCAAUGCACAUCAGGGCACCCAGGUUCAAGCUGGCCCAGUCUGGAUCUAGGCGAGGAGAGGAAGCAGCAUGAAGUCCACGGGCAACCAGCGUGAGACCACCAGGGAGGUCCCCUCUGGUGGCCCACCGGAAGGCUCUCGUCAGGCUUUCCCAAAGCCACCCCGACCCCAGCCCCGCCGGCCUCCACACUCACUGGGGGCGUCGCAGUCAAUACAGAAGCUGUUGCCGCGAACGGUGCGAACGGCCUGCACGGCCAGGGCCGCGUUGUGGUUCCCCACGCGAGUCUGCACAGCGGGAGAGACCGGGGGCGGGGCAGGGGGGCGGUCAGUCACCAGGCCACCUUGGGUCCCACCCCAACCGGGCCUCCGUGCCAACCUUGUCCUUGGCGCUGCGGCAGCCCUGCAGGCUGGCAAGGAUCUGGGCCUGCACGCUCUGCACCCACAGCUCCCGCUCCUCUGCUGUCGAGGCCUCGAAGUGCCACGUCUGCCCGGUGAGGGACACCAGCACAAACUCGAAGGACUCCUCCGCCUCUGUGGGGACAGGGAUAUUUGCCACCAUCAGGGAGGGCGCCCCGCUGCCACACCUCCAUCCGCUCUCCUGCCUGCCUGGCUCUCGUCCUCUUCCCCCCACCCCAGCCUCCAAGGCCAAGCCCACGAGUGCGGAGCAGCCCUCAAACCCCUCUUCCCGACCACCUGUGGCGCCUCGGUAAAGACAGGGUGCAAGGUCUUCGCGUCCCUGGCUGGCACUGCCAGGAAUGGGCCUGGAAUUCGGAGCAGGGUGCCUCCCGGAGCAGAGCGGGGUGUUUGGAGAAGGAUGCGACGGGUGCUAGGAGGCGACGCUGGGAGAGGGUGGGGGAAGGCGGGUGCGGGCACCAUCCGUACAUGUCAGCUGCAGCCGCCUCAUUUUGCAGCUCAUUAAACCCAAUAUUCCUGACGGCGUCAGCGUGGGGCUCCUGGGAGCCGGGCCCCUCCCCCGCUACCCUGGCAGAGAGAGGCAGGAAGGACAAGUGGAUGGGGAGAGGAGGCGAGGUUGUCCCCACAAACUGGGAUGUGUGAGCGGAAAGGGACCUGAGGACAGCCGUGGUGCCCUGCGCUGUAGGCCGGACCGCGACCCCAAGCGACGUGGUGAAGCUGUUCCAAGCUCUGCUCCUCUCGGCCAACAGAAGACAGCGACACGAAUCUCAUUCCCAGCGGUCACCACCCUACGGGUGAACGAUUCCUAACAAGCACCGAGACUGAAUGUGUCCUGGGGGCUGGAGAGACAACUCAGAUACCUGUGGGGAGGCCCAAGGCCGGAGUUCAGGUUCUGCCCCGGGGGCAGCCUCUCGACUCACUGACACACAUUCCCUGGACGUCUUCCUGCUGGGCUCCUGCUCUAAGGGCACCUCUAACAGAAACUGCCUCCUAGAAAAAGAACGCUGGUACCCUUCCUUCCCCAGGCUCCACCAUUCCACCUCACCUUGCUCUCAGUACAGCCUCUGAACUGCACAAACUCGGCCCUUUGUGGGGCUCAGUUCCCAGGUACCUGGGUCCCCUGCCACGCGUGCUAAGCAUCACUACACCAUGGUAGGCUGGGAAGGGCGGCUCUUUCCCCUAGAGGUGAUCUCCACCCACACCCCUAUCCCUGACAGUCGGAGCAGAAAUGAGCCACUACGCAUCGAGAAGUUCAACUUAUCUGGGAGCAAAGAGACUUCAACCACUGAGAAGAGGAACACUUUGAAGAUACUUUGGGAGAAAAUCAGAGAAGUGCCAUGAUCAACGCCAAAUUAUGAGAAAGGCCCCGUGGAAAACACUCGAGGAGCUGGAAUUCCUUAGCUUAAAGACGACUAAGGAGAGACCUCGCCAGCUAAGACACACGUAUCAAGCACCAGUUAUGUGCCCAGCACUCAGGAAACUCAGUGGCUGAUACAAGAGACACAGAAAGCAUAGGUCCUGCCCACGAGUCUUGGAAGGGCUAUUGGAGUAGCCGCCUGCCGUCUUUUACCUUCUACAGGGAAUAAAAGAGAAGCUCACGUUUUAGUAGAAAGGGUUUAAAUUAGGCAGAAGAAAGCGCUUUUCUAAGAUUCUGGGUCUAGAUUACCAAAAGAAGUUGUGGAACUAUG